RNAcentral lists this long non-coding RNA (5295 nucleotides) under Homo sapiens (human). RNAcentral describes it as "HSALNT0097456". Lineage: Eukaryota; Metazoa; Chordata; Mammalia; Primates; Hominidae. The record is from RNAcentral.
CAAAACCUCUGUUUAUUCAUUAAGCAUUAACCACUUUAUGCCAAAAACAGAGAGGAGGCUUGGCAGUGGACUUUCAGCUGACUUUUCGCCGGGUAUAAAUGUUGCCCAAGGAACACGGCAACAGUAGGUCUGUCUGGGACAAAGCAGACCACAGGGCAGCCUGCCGUGGCAUGCGCAGGCUGAGGUGCCGUUCUUUUGUGUGCCGGGAGAAGCAGAACCUUUUAAUGAGCGUUUGGCUUUUAUUUGGAAAGGUGGUUGCCCUCUUGUGCAGUGAGGCGCGGAAGCUGAGGCAACAGGGAUUCUCUAUGAGCCAAGGAGCAUGUGUGCAUGUGGCGGAUCACAGAUCAAUGCAAACAAAUUCCCGUCGGUUCCGAUCAAGGGUAAGAGAUCAAUGGAACAACAAAAAUGACGUUUAGGUGGGACAAAGCAUUUCAAAAGACUGCUCCCAAACCAAGUUUGUCAAGUCUGAAUUCCAGUGCAGAGAUCUGGCAGCUGGAAUGUGUGGCCCCUGGGGACAGCAAGACCACCACGACUUGCCGACUCCCCCUAAGCGCUACUCACGGGAGAAGUUAACAGGAGGCAUAAAACCAAUUACAACUGCUGUAACAUCAAAGGCAAUUUGGAGACUAGUUUAACCCUUGAGAAGAGCUCCUCAGAAGUCACAGGUUUUUAAAGCUUCAACUUGGAGACACCUGGUGCAUCUGGAUACCGUUUUUUCGUUUUUUUUUUUUUUUUUUGUAUCUGAGUAGAGGAGAGCUGUCCAAAUCUGUCCUGGGCAAGGGCUUGAUGGGGGUGAGGGUGUAUGGGGGCAAAGUUAGGAAAGUGGAAGGGAUGGCAGUUAUGAGAGCCCCUCCUAUGUAGUACAUACACUGUCUGUUUUUAAAAGUUGGGGAGAUAGACUCAGAGAGAUGAAGACACUUGACCCAAGCCCCACCCAGGUGUGUCUGGCUGUAAAGCCCUCUCUUCUCCCUCAGACUGCCUUCCUGGUGAGGUAAGACAACACCGUUCCUAGCACAGAGAAUGACCGUGAGGGCUGUCAGGUUGUCACAGCUGUUUCGUGGCAGCUGGUGACUUCCGUUUCCUGGUCUCUUCCCAAGGAAUUUUCUCAUCUUUCUCAUUCUCUCUGUCAAGGGAGGAAAAAGGUGAUGUGCUGUGAGCAGCCCUUUCUACAAAUGCUAUUUUGCAGGCAGGGAAAAUCCUGCCUACCCUUCUCAGCCCCAGCCUCCUGAUAAGAGGAGUCCUAGGUUACUAAAUUUGGGCUGGCAUCCUCUCUCUGGCAGACGGGCAUUUGUUGCCAGUUCCAGGGUCAGAGUUUGAGUGAGGAGAGACAAUCUAUCUCAGAAAUGACAAUCUGACCUCCCUGGCUGUGGGUCCUGUCUUUUCUGGACCGGGAAUUCUCGGCUUUCAUCCGAUUUCAAGCAGCUUGCAGCAUCAGCAUCCCCUUUUAUUUCCCGUGAUUCCUCUUGGAAUCACCUUCCUCUCAAAUAAUGUGGAGAGGCUCUCUCCAACCCGUUGCUAGUAUCUGCGGGGCCAGGUGAAGAGGAAGGUGGAGGGAGGACCUUUCACUCAUUCUCUCACAUACAAAGGAAUGCUUCAAAAUAUUCAUUCACCUGUUUAUUUGGCAUUCAUUGAUUCUUCUGGAAUCAGAGAUAGGUAACCUGUGACUGUGUAAUUUUUUAUUUUUAGGAGGAGGCUUGAGAAACCCCACUCUGCUAUCAGUCACUGGCUAGAAUCGUACCAUGGGAAUUAUUUUUAGAACCAAGCAGCUACAUAAUUUGGAAAGGGGAAGUCACUCCCAAGACAGAGCAACCAACCCUUUCAUUUUACAAAUGAGGAAACUGAGGCUCCCAGAGCCGAAGAGACUUGCCCAAGGUCACACGACUAAUCAGUGGCAGAAUCCGGACUCAACCACACGUCUCCUGACAGAAGUGGCACAGGUUCUCCUGUGCUGUACUGCCUUCCUCUCUGGGCUUCUCUAAAUCAGGGACAGCUAGAAGUGUAGCUUUGAAAUCAAACAGGAGACUCUACAUGUACAGAAUUUUAUGUGGAAAGAAUGGAAUCUGCAGGGAAGAAGAAAAUGCCAUAGAAAGAAGAGAAUAAACCAAAGUGGGAGAAAGAGAAUAAAAAAAAUAAAUGAAAACAGACAGGAUAUUCCAACCAUGAUGGUCAAGGAGCCAUUCUCAAGACAAGAUGCCACAUUCAUUACCAGGGUCUUCAAGGGUUUAACACCUAUGGGGGCCCCAUAAGGUAAACAAAAACCACAGCGGUUACUCCACUUCCCAGCUCUUACAUCUCCAUGGCACCGAGCAUCAGCGUAUUCGUAAAAAGCCCAAUUAAUUGUCCAUGAGCAUUCCUGAUACUUCCUGCAAAUACACUAGGUCUCUAAAACAAAGUAAAUACACACUUGGUUCAGACAGGUUUCUUUUUCUUUGCAAAAUGACACCUCAGCGACAUAAAAGUUAGUCCUGAUGCACAGGAGAAGGGAGGCAAAAUAAACACAAGCCCAGCAUUUCUUUGAGGAUGGUGGAGUGGAGCGUUACUAAACACACAGAGAACCUUCCGAAGCUGAGGCCAAAACAUUCGAUUUAGCAGUUUGCUUCUGGGGUUUGAUGUGACCGGGGGGCCACUGAUGUGUAUUCUGAGCUCUCAGGUCAAAGGUCCAUAUCGUGCCUUUGAAAGGCCUCCUUCAAAGACCCUCUCAAAAACAAAUCAACAAAGCCCAUUGCCUACCCUGCAACAUGCACGCUAUCACUCGGGAGGCAUCUGCAAAAAGGGCUUUGGAAAUGUGAGCAGAGAGAACCCAGCAGUUGGAGGAUGCCUGAGAGCUCUCUUUCAAUUUUUCCUGGGCCAUAAGAAGUGUAUUUCCCACAGCUGCUGAAUCUUUGCUUCUUAUCAUGCAACAUAACUUACCCCAGUGCCUAGCGCAGUGCCAGCCACUUCACAGAUGGUCACCAAUGGUUGCAGAAUGAGUCCUUCUAGGAAAAGGUGUCAGGGCUGAGCCCAAGCCGUAUGGAAUAAAGCUCUAAGCCAUAUCGUCAUGACUGUGGCCCUGUGGCCCUUCUAGUGACGACAAUAAAGACUGAGCCCUCCUGCUGUGACUGUACAGGGCUAAGCACCUUCCCUGCUUCUUGUCUUUCUGAGACACAGACCUCUAUCAGGGAGCCCUUGGGAAGGAGACUUGAAAUAAAACAAGAUUUCUAUGGGUCCAGGAUGAAGAUGGGGAACGGGAAGGCAAGAAAUUUUGGGAAGGCUGGCUAUUUUUUUGGAGGCCACUUUUAUUGUCUUCUACUUUAUACAGGAUACUCAGUUUGAUUUACACUCCCCUGUCUCUGAAUAAGCCAAGAAGCCCCAAAAUGUUUCAUGAUAUUAAAUUAACUGCUCUAAUUUCCCCAGGAAGCUCGAAUUUCGGCAAACAAUAUGAGUGCUAAAAUGAUACCAGAGUCCAUUUAGAGAGGAAUCCUCCGACAAGCACUAAAUGCAGACUCCCCGAGAGCAGCUUUCUGACUACUGUAUUUUUAUACUCUGAGAAUAUAAACAAGGCAGAAAGGAAAGCCAGCGUGAGUGAGGACUUAAAAUAAUCUCCGCAAACGGCAGACUGGGAGAUAGCACUUUUGAAAGAAUUCCCAUUAGUAAGCAUAAUAUACUCCUAUUAUCACAGUUCAUCUCUUUCAAUUACAAUGUGAAAUUUCGUAAUUGAAGCAGGAUUAGAAAUGUUUUUGUGCUUCAGAAAUUAAAGCAGCCUAUCUAAAUCCUUUACAAAGGGUUAAAAAACUGACUACAAUUUAAAAAGCUUCUAACUAUCUCCCAACAGUAACCAAAAAAAGAAGAAAGAGAUAAAGAAAGAAGGAAAAGAAAAAGAAUUUUUUUUAAAUUCAGGAUUUCAAUGAUGCAUUUAAGUCCCCAUGAAGAAUACCUUGAAAAUAGAUAUCUUCAGAAAUAGGCUUUGGGUAUCUGGAAGAAAAGUCGAAUUCCAAACUAGGUAUCUACAUGCAAGGUCUGCACAUCAGGGGAUACCCAUCCAGUUGUUCAUUCCUCAUCCAGAUGUUCUGGGGGCCCAGCAUCUCAUCAGGUGGAUGGUUAAACUUAGCCUGAGGGCACUGUCCCUCCAGAGGCCCCAAAUCCAGCAGCAGCGUUCUGCUCUGAGCUUCUGUUCAUGUUCCUCCUCAUGCUAAAUGGGAGAAGUAGCUAAGGCUCAGCACCCUUUAGAGUUUAACAAUUUGCUAAUUUCUGAAUAAAUCUAUCCCUACCAAAUGUGCCAAAUAAGUGUGGGGACUUCUGCAUGAAAUUCACAAGGGAAGCCUUACUAGAAACCCAAAGCAAGUCAACAGUCAUGAAAUCCAACAAGGAAUUAACCCAUAAGAGUAACAUAGUACUAUUAGAUGUUCACACUGUCUUAGGUACUCAGGAUGAAGAAUAAAGUAUAAGACACGCUUUGAAAAUAUUUGGAAGAAAGUUGCCACCUCUGGUUUUCACAGCUGAAUUAUACUGAAAGGUUUAAGGGAAUUUAAACACCUAAACUAUAAUAAUUUGAAUUAGUUUUUGAUGAAAUAUAUAUAUGUUCAUCAAUGUACAUAUUUGAAGUAUUCUUUUUCUAGACGGAGGAGAAAUAGAAUAUUGUAACUGUAAAAAGAAAACCAGGGGAAUCCCUGCUUUCAUGAACCAAGGCAGAAGACAAAAUGUGAAGCAGCCUUGACAUGCUAUUUCUUUCCUCCCUAUUAUCCAAUUGUCCUUUAAGCAGAGAAUAGGAAAUCUAGAAGCGCUUUUGAAGGUUGUUUUUUUUUAUGACAGUUUAACAUUCUAAAAAAUCAUUAUUGAAGAACAAAUUAUAGAAGCAUUUGUCUGCUGCUAGCUGGGGUCUUUGAAAAAAAUAAAGCUCAAGGUUAUUUUAACUGACAAAAGGAAAAAAAUUAUCUUCAAAAGAAACGCAUAUACUUCAUAUAACUGAGUACUGGUUACACUUCCUCAGAGAAAUCAAACACUUGAUCUAAGCCACAAUCUGCUAAUGAAUUGUCACUGCUUCUCAUCAUUUGAGGGCUACUGUAAUUCUACAUUAAAACAACAUCUCAAAUGAGCAAAAGGAGGUGAAUCUAUCAUUUUGCUCAUUUUGUACACUUGCCCACCAGACCCUAGAAUACAUAUAGAUAUGUUUACUGAUUCAUGAAUUAUUUAAGUAUCCACAAAGACCCCUGUCUAUAAAACUGACAACUCUUAUGCCUAUUUUUCCUACAUAUGUAGUUACAUGUAAUAUUGUGUCCAUGUAAAUACAAAUAUAUAUAACUGGUAAAGCAAUUGUUG